GCUGGGUGCAGUGGCGUAUGCCUGUAAUCCCAGUGGCUUGGGAGACUGAGACAGGAGAAUCACGAGCUCAAAGCCAGCCACAGCAACUGUGAGGCACUAAGCAACUCAGUGAGACCCUGUCUCUA
This 125-nucleotide small RNA is filed under the name Marmota monax (woodchuck). The record is from RNAcentral. Lineage: Eukaryota; Metazoa; Chordata; Mammalia; Rodentia; Sciuridae.